RNAcentral lists this ribosomal RNA (521 nucleotides) under uncultured bacterium. Its description in RNAcentral is "bacterial SSU rRNA". It matches the Rfam family "Archaeal small subunit ribosomal RNA", at positions 345 to 866 of the family's 1478-position model. The record is from RNAcentral.
AACCUCCGCAAUGUGAGAAAUCGCGACGGGGGGAUCCCAAGUGCCAUUCUUAACGGGAUGGCUUUUCAUUAGUGUAAAAGACUUUGUUAGUAAGGGCUGGGCAAGACCGGUGCCAGCCGCCGCGGUAACACCGGCAGCUCUAGUGGUAGCAAUUUUUAUUGGGCCUAAAGCGUCCGUAGCCGGUUUAAUAAGUCUCUGGUGAAAUCCUGUAGCUUAACUGUGGGAAUUGCUGGAGAUACUAUUAGACUUGAGACCGGGAGAGGUUAGAGGUACUCCCAGGGUAGAGGUGAAAUUCUGUAAUCCUGGGAGGACCGCCUGUUGCGAAGGCGUCUAACUGGAACGGUUCUGACGGUGAGGGACGAAAGUUAGGGGCGCGAACCGGAUUAGAUACCCGGGUAGUCCUAACUGUAAACGAUGCGGACUUGGUGUUGGGGUGGCUUUGAGCUGCUCCAGUGCCGAAGGGAAGCUGUUAAGUCCGCCGCCUGGGAAGUACGGUCGCAAGACUGAAACUUAAAGGAAUU